RNAcentral lists this ribosomal RNA (486 nucleotides) under uncultured bacterium. Its description in RNAcentral is "bacterial SSU rRNA". It matches the Rfam family "Bacterial small subunit ribosomal RNA", at positions 28 to 509 of the family's 1533-position model. The record is from RNAcentral.
GAUGAACGCUAGCGGCAGGCCUAACACAUGCAAGUCGAGGGGUAUUAGGGGCUUGCUCCUAAGAGACCGGCGCACGGGUGCGUAACGCGUAUGCAAUCUGCCUUGUACAGAGGGAUAGCCCAGAGAAAUUUGGAUUAAUACCUCAUGGUGUAAUGAACUGGCAUCGGUUUAUUACUAAAGCUUCGGCGGUACAAGAUGAGCAUGCGUCCCAUUAGCUAGUUGGUAAGGUAACGGCUUACCAAGGCUACGACGGGUAGCUGGUCUGAGAGGACGAUCAGCCACACUGGAACUGAGACACGGUCCAGACUCCUACGGGAGGCAGCAGUGGGGAAUUUUGCACAAUGGGCGAAAGCCUGAUGCAGCAACGCCGCGUGUGUGAUGAAGGUCUUCGGAUCGUAAAGCACUUUCGAUCGGGACGAAAACUAGAAGGUUAAUAGUCUUCAGCUUGACGGUACCGAGAGAAGAAGCACCGGCUAACUCUGUGCC